This 484-nucleotide ribosomal RNA is filed under the name uncultured bacterium. RNAcentral describes it as "partial 16S ribosomal RNA". It matches the Rfam family "Bacterial small subunit ribosomal RNA", at positions 30 to 507 of the family's 1533-position model. The record is from RNAcentral.
AUUGAACGCUGGCGGCAGGCCUAACACAUGCAAGUCGAGCGGAUGAAGGGAGCUUGCUCCUGGAUUCAGCGGCGGACGGGUGAGUAAUGCCUAGGAAUCUGCCCGGUAGUGGGGGAUAACGUCCGGAGACGGGCGCUAAUACCGCAUACGUCCUGAGGGAGAAAGUGGGGGAUCUUCGGACCUCACGCUAUCAGAUGAGCCUAGGUCGGAUUAGCUAGUUGGUGGGGUAAAGGCCUACCAAGGCGACGAUCCGUAACUGGUCUGAGAGGAUGAUCAGUCACACUGGAACUGAGACACGGUCCAGACUCCUACGGGAGGCAGCAGUGGGGAAUAUUGGACAAUGGGCGAAAGCCUGAUCCAGCCAUGCCGCGUGUGUGAAGAAGGUCUUCGGAUUGUAAAGCACUUUAAGUUGGGAGGAAGGGCAGUAAGUUAAUACCUUGCUGUUUUGACGUUACCAACAGAAUAAGCACCGGCUAACUUCGUG